This 256-nucleotide ribosomal RNA is filed under the name uncultured bacterium. Its description in RNAcentral is "partial 16S ribosomal RNA". It matches the Rfam family "Bacterial small subunit ribosomal RNA", at positions 524 to 776 of the family's 1533-position model. The record is from RNAcentral.
GACAUAGGUGGCGAACGUUAUCCGGAAUUAUUGGGCGUAAAGGGUGCGUAGAUGGUUUGAAAAGUUAGCGGUGGGAAAUCGAGGCUCAACCUCGUGGAAGUCGUUAAUACUAUCAAACUAGAGUGCAGGAGAGGUUAACGGAACUCAAUGUGGAGCGGUAAAAUGCGUAGAUAUAUUGAAGAACACCAAUAACGGCGAAGGCAGUUAACUAUUCUGUUACUGACGUUGAGGCACGAAAGCGUGGGGAGCAAAAAGG